RNAcentral lists this ribosomal RNA (253 nucleotides) under uncultured bacterium. RNAcentral's name for it is "partial 16S ribosomal RNA". It matches the Rfam family "Bacterial small subunit ribosomal RNA", at positions 524 to 776 of the family's 1533-position model. The record is from RNAcentral.
UACGAAGGUGGCUAGCGUUGUUCGGAAUCACUGGGCGUAAAGCGCACGUAGGCGGCUCGUUAAGUCAGAGGUGAAAGCCUGGAGCUCAACUCCAGAACUGCCUUUGAUACUGGCGAGCUCGAGUAUGGCAGAGGUUGGUGGAACUCCGAGUGUAGAGGUGAAAUUCGUAGAUAUUCGGAAGAACACCAGUGGCGAAGGCGGCCAACUGGGCCAUUACUGACGCUGAGGUGCGAAAGCGUGGGGAGCAAACAGG